RNAcentral lists this long non-coding RNA (1107 nucleotides) under Macaca fascicularis (crab-eating macaque). RNAcentral's name for it is "lncRNA (ENSMFAG00000049986.1)". Lineage: Eukaryota; Metazoa; Chordata; Mammalia; Primates; Cercopithecidae. The record is from RNAcentral.
AUGCCAGCUGUUGGGCUGGGGUGGGAUCGGGGUGCCGGCUGUGGGACUGCGAUGGGAUCGGGGUGCUGGUUGUGGGACUGGGGUGGCAGCUUAAGGGGUGACCGAGCCCUCCCUCCCCGCCGCUCCCGGAUGCCCCUCGCCCUCCACGCUGGGAGCGCCGUGGCUGGCCGAGCCCCCGGCAUGUUCCGCGGGAGUCCGCGCACCCUACAGCGUCUUCCGCCACAGCCUCGUGUUCAGGCGUCCGCCCCGCAGGGGAGUCCCGUCCGCGCCCCUUCACCCACAGCAGCGUCCGGGCGAGGGGUGCCCGUACCUGGAGGCCUGAAGGUACCGCCGUGCCGCUCGUGCGCACUGCUCCCUGGCCCCGUCCGUCCACUGACCAUCGUCCCUCGGCCCGACCGCCCGCGCGGGGCAGGCGACACCAACCGGGACCGCGGGGACCAGGAGGAAGCGACGGCGUUAGGAGCUGACAGCGUCGGUCCGCGCACGCGCCCCGGGCCCCGUUGUGCCUUAUUUCACGGCCCCGCCUUCCUCCCCGGCAAGCGCCAAAUAAGUGUCCGGCCCUCCCAGCCCCGUGCGUGCGCGGCCCCGCUGCCUGCGUCACUAGGAAGCGCGCGCCCGCGCCGCCGCCGCCGCCGCCGCCGCCGCCGAAUCCCCAACAAGGAGCGAAGCCCGCGGCCGCCGCCGCCGCCCGCCGCCGCCGCAGCUCCCGACGCCGCCGCCCCCGCCGGGCGCCCGAGUAGGCCCGGCGCGGUCCCAGGUAAGCGGCGCCGGCGCGCCCGCGGCCCCCCCGCGGCGAGGCCUCUCGCUCCGCUCACGCGCCGCCGUCCAGUCAGGGGGUCCCUGCGGAGCGUCAGGACGUUACGGCGGGGGGAGGGGGAGGGCCGGGGAGGGGCGGCCGCGCGGGCGGCGGCGUCAGGCGCGACGGCGGCGUCAGGCGGGCGGCGCGGGCGGUGGCGGGCGCGGGCGGCGGCGCUUCCUGCCUCCAUCUUGGCGCCGCGGGCGGGCGCGGGCUCGGCUUCCAGCGGCCUGCUCGGUGGACCCAGCCCGGGGGACCACGCCGCAGGCACCCGCCCCGCAGGGACGCGACCCUCCGGGGCCAUCCCGUAG